GCACUGCUGAGGAGUCCCAUAAUAGGACGAAACAACCAUCCAGUGC
Non-coding RNA from Schistosoma margrebowiei, 46 nucleotides. The record is from Rfam. Lineage: Eukaryota; Metazoa; Platyhelminthes; Trematoda; Strigeidida; Schistosomatidae.